CUGUAUAUUGUUCUUCUUAAAGUAUAUUUAUCGUGAUCUAAUUUAUUAUGACCCUAGGGAUUCCGAGUUCCAACUAGAAUGACAAAAAAAAAAAAAAAAUAGUUUGCAUUUUUUUUCCCUUUUACCUAAACAAGGAACAAACAAAUUCAUUUUGGAUGUACCUAAAGACCCAAGCUAUCGCUUCCUCGGACUAUUUUAUUCGAAAAACACCCCUCGAUUUGUUGUGC
Molecule: non-coding RNA, 227 nt
Organism: Cinara cedri
Lineage: Eukaryota; Metazoa; Arthropoda; Insecta; Hemiptera; Aphididae
Source: the annotation of a GenBank genome assembly